This 439-nucleotide ribosomal RNA is filed under the name uncultured Anaerolineaceae bacterium. RNAcentral's name for it is "bacterial SSU rRNA". It matches the Rfam family "Bacterial small subunit ribosomal RNA", at positions 924 to 1382 of the family's 1533-position model. Lineage: Bacteria; Bacillati; Chloroflexota; Anaerolineae; Anaerolineales; Anaerolineaceae. The record is from RNAcentral.
CACAAGCAGCGGAGCGUGUGGUUAAUUCGAUGUUACACGAAGAACCUUACCAGGGUUGACAUAUAGGUUGUAGGGAACUGAAAGGGACCGACCUUCGGGAGCCUAUACAGGUGUUGCAUGGCUGUCGUCAGCUCGUGUCGUGAGAUGUUCGGUUAAGUCCGCUAACGAGCGCAACCCUCGUCGUAUGUUAUAUGUGUCAUACGAGACUGCCGGUAAAAGCCGGAGGAAGGUGAGGAUGAUGUCAAGUCAGCAUGACCUUUAUAUCCAGGGCUACACACACGCUACAAUGGUCUGUACAAUGGGUAGCCAAGCCGCGAGGCGGAGCCAAUCCUGAAAGCAGGCCUCAGUUCAGAUUGCAGUCUGCAACUCGACUGCAUGAAGCCGGAGUUGCUAGUAACCGCAGGUCAGCAAUACUGCGGUGAAUACGUUCCCGGGUCUU